This 600-nucleotide ribosomal RNA is filed under the name uncultured bacterium. RNAcentral's name for it is "bacterial SSU rRNA". It matches the Rfam family "Bacterial small subunit ribosomal RNA", at positions 338 to 1414 of the family's 1533-position model. The record is from RNAcentral.
CCUACGGGAGGCAGCAGUAGGGAAUAUUGGUCAAUGGGCGAAAGCCUGAACCAGCAACGCCGCGUGCGCGAUGAAGGCCUUCGGGUCGUAAAGCGCUUUUGGGAGGGAUGAAAAUGACAGUACCUCCCGAAUAAGGAUCGGCUAACUACGUGCCAGCAGCCGCGGUAAGACGUAGGAUCCAAGCGUUAUCCGGAAUUACUGGGCGUAAAGGGCGUGUAGGAGGUUGGGCAAGUCGGCCAUGAAAGCUCCCGGCUCAACUGGGAGAGGCUGGUCGAUACUGCCUGGCUAGAGGGCAAGAGAGGGAGGUGGAAUUCCCGGUGUAGUGGUGAAAUGCGUAGAUAUCGGGAGGAACACCAGUGGCGAAGGCGGCCUCCUGGCUUGUACCUGACUCUGAAACGCGAAAGCAUGGGUAGCAAACAGGAUUAGAAACCCUGGUAGUCCAUGCCAUAAACGAUGUCAACUGGGUGUCGGCGAAGUAAAUUUGUCGGUGCCGAAGCUAACGCGUUAAGUUGACCGCCUGAGACGUACGAUCGCAGAUUAAACUAACAAAGGAAGUUAGACGGCGUGAGACGUGCCGACGGACGACGACGAGGGAGUAGG